This 468-nucleotide ribosomal RNA is filed under the name uncultured bacterium. RNAcentral's name for it is "partial 16S ribosomal RNA". It matches the Rfam family "Bacterial small subunit ribosomal RNA", at positions 28 to 507 of the family's 1533-position model. The record is from RNAcentral.
GACGAACGCUGGCGGCGUGCUUAACACAUGCAAGUCGAACGGAAAGGCCCUGCUUUUGUGGGGUGCUCGAGUGGCGAACGGGUGAGUAACACGUGAGUAACCUGCCCUUGACUUUGGGAUAACUUCAGGAAACUGGGGCUAAUACCGGAUAGGAGCUCCUGCUGCAUGGUGGGGGUUGGAAAGUUUCGGCGGUUGGGGAUGGACUCGCGGCUUAUCAGCUUGUUGGUGGGGUAGUGGCUUACCAAGGCUUUGACGGGUAGCCGGCCUGAGAGGGUGACCGGCCACAUUGGGACUGAGAGACGGCCCAGACUCCUACGGGAGGCAGCAGUGGGGAAUAUUGCAGAAUGGGCGGAAGCCAGAUGCAGCAACGCCGCGUGCGGGAUGACGGCCUUCGGGUUGUAAACCGCUUUCGCCUGUGACGAAGCGUGAGUGACGGUAAUGGGUAAAGAAGCACCGGCUAACUACGUG